GUGGCAGAGCCCAGCCACCAGGGUCUGCUCCAUGCCUGGUCCCUGGAGAGGCCCUCACCCUCUCUGCUUUCACCCAACCCGACUGACACGGAGUAGGAGGUGGGAAUCAUGCAGGCAGGGAGCUUAGGAAGCCUGGUUCAAGGUUGCUUUGAAUGGCAGGCCCCCUGCUGUGCUCCUGGGGAGAGAGCCUGAAACCUGGAUGCUCGGGAGCCCCUCAGAUCCGUCAUCUGUCCCCGACACCCCUGUGGUGAGCCUUGCCACUGGGCCCUGAGAAGCUCAGAGCAGUCGAGUCAGGGCAGUGGGACAUGACCCAGGUCAGAUGUGGCUUUUCCGUAAUUGUACACCAAUGAUCAAGAGAAAAUGAAGGAUUUUAAUAUGAUGGGCUGCAAAUGUAACAAACCCCCUGACCUUCAGUCUGAAGAGAGAGAACUAUCAACCACACAGAAGCAAAGAUCCAGAGAAAUACUGAGGGAUGCUACCAGACACUCCAGGAAGAUCCUCCGCCUCAGUGCCAGGCCACUGCCCACCACAUGGGAGCAGGAACCAGGGCAUGGGCAGGCAGAAGAGCAGGCGGAGUGGCUGAGGUCCUGUCCCGGCUCCCUAAGGUGUUCCCAGUUUGCGGAGGAUUACGUGCCCUCUCAGCCCAGUAGCACACUUUCCAAAUAAGCCAUCAGACUCCUCCCAAGGUCCUGAAACUGAGGCUCAGAGAGCAGAAGCAGCUUGGCCAAAGUCAUACAACUGGUAGUUGGUAAAGGAGCUGGCCUUGAACUCAGGGAUAUCUUGAAAGCCACUGUUGCUUCUAUGGACUCUAGCCAUUCAAAAGACCCCUCACCUUCUAUAAGACCCCAGGAGAUCCUCAGGGUCCAACUGCUCCCUUGAAAACAGGUCCCAGAUAUAUCUGCCAAAGGUAUGAUUAGGUGCCUAAACACAUACCAUGAGAAAGGGAUUCCAUGUCUUCCAAUCCUGCCCAGAGAUGCAGAGACACCACCACCCAGGGAGAGAUAGCCAGAAACUAAAAUAAGAUGUUAGAGACAGGUGGUUGAUAGUGACAGAUACAGCCACACCAAGACAGGCUCAAAGGGAGGAAGACUGAGGGGAAGCCAGAGACAGAGAGGGACACAUUAGGCCAAAGAAUGAGAGAGAUAGCUGGAAAAGGAGACAAUAGGAGUAGAGGAGGGUACA
This 1182-nucleotide long non-coding RNA is filed under the name Homo sapiens (human). Its description in RNAcentral is "long non-coding RNA NONHSAT219429.1". The record is from RNAcentral. Lineage: Eukaryota; Metazoa; Chordata; Mammalia; Primates; Hominidae.